AUUGAACGCUGGCGGCAUGCCUUACACAUGCAAGUCGAACGGUAACGGGCCUUCGGGUGCCGACGAGUGGCGAACGGGUGCGUAAUACAUCGGAACGUGCCCGAUCGUGGGGGAUAACGAGGCGAAAGCUUUGCUAAUACCUCAUACGAUCUACGGAUGAAAGCAGGGGACCGCAAGGCCUUGCGCGGACGGAGCGGCCGAUGGCAGAUUAGGUAGUUGGUGGGAUAAAAGCUUACCAAGCCGACGAUCUGUAGCUGGUCUGAGAGGAUGAUCAGCCACACUGGGACUGAGACACGGCCCAGACUCCUACGGGAGGCAGCAGUGGGGAAUUUUGGACAAUGGGCGCAAGCCUGAUCCAGCCAUGCCGCGUGAAGGAUGAAGGCCUUCGGGUUGUAAACUGCUUUUGUACGGAACGAAAAGCCUUCUUUUAAUACAGGAGGGUCAUGACGGUACCGUAAGAAUAAGCACCGGCUAACUACGUG
Molecule: ribosomal RNA, 482 nt
Filed under: uncultured bacterium
Lineage: Bacteria
Description: partial 16S ribosomal RNA
Rfam family: Bacterial small subunit ribosomal RNA
Source: RNAcentral